This 3373-nucleotide long non-coding RNA is filed under the name Homo sapiens (human). RNAcentral's name for it is "HSALNT0095550". The record is from RNAcentral. Lineage: Eukaryota; Metazoa; Chordata; Mammalia; Primates; Hominidae.
CCUGUAUACAUAUGCAGGCACUGAAAACAGACUAGAAGUAGAUACACCAAAAUGUUCACAGGGGUAAUCAGUGCAUGGUGGAGUUAGGGAUAAUUAUUUUAUUCAUUUUGCCUGUCAGUAUUUUCAAUAAUGGCCAUGCAUUACUUUUAGAGAUGGGGGGAAUUAACUCUAGAAGAACAUUAAAGCUUGCCUCUCCCCUCACGUCUUCUUUGGCUUGAGUCACAUCUCACAGAGAGAAAGACCAAGGCACGCUGCACCAAUGAGCUCCCCGAAGUCAUGCUUCCCCUCCCAUGUCGUGCUGGCAUCCUUUCUCCGAGGAAGAGAAUGAGUUUCCAGACAGCAGAGCGGGCCCUUCUCAGGGCCAGGAUGGUCCUGGCAGCAGUCGUUCUCUAACACAUCACGACAUGUGUUUCCAGUAACUCUGUUUGUGGCCGCUUUCUUCUCUUAUCACUCCUCCUGUGACCUUUGCUGGUUGCAGACUUACCGACUGGAGCCAGGUGGAUUUGUUUGAUUUUUGUUGAUGGUUAUUAGGAAGAGGAAGUGCCAGAAGGGAUUACCUCAAGUUUAAACCUAUUUCCAGCAGAGUCCCAGGGCCUUUAAUUACACAUGUUGGGUCUGUUUGGUAAAGAAGUGGUCAAAGAUGUGCUUUUUAUCUCCCUAGGAAUCUCCUGCGACUGGCAGCAUUCCAUUUGUGCCUGAUGUUCCUGUAAACUCCAGCCACAACCCCUGUGGGGAGGAGGGGCUGCUGUGGAGAAUGAGAUAUGAAGUUGAAAGCUGGCUGCGUAUAUCACUCGCGAACCUUCCAGACAACUGAAGAAUAACAAUGAAUACUGCCAUCUUCCCAGAGCUCCAGCACUAAUCUUUGUUAAGGCUUAGAGGAAACCACUUUUCUCAGUUUUGAUGUCUAUGAAUCUGCAAUCACUAAUGAAUGGGGAAAAGUCUGUGAAACAUUUAUUUCCUACAUCAAUGAUUAAAAUUAGCUGUUUUUAGAGCAGAAUGAACAACAUACAAAGCAGGUUGGACGACAUCUAUUUCACACAAUUGCAUCUCAGUUUCUGACCUAGGUAAAAUCCUGCAUAAAUGUAGGAGAAUCCUCUAUAUUAAUAUGUUCUGUAUUCAGGUUUAAGAGAUGUGCAUUUACAUUUACAUUUUAUUAAUUCAUCAACUGAUACUUAAGAAUUAAAACUCUCAAAAUCAGAAGACGAUGCUUUUUGGUAAAGAAAAAAAGAAACAGGCUAUAAGUAAAAACAGGUAUAAAAAUUAACACAAAACCUUUGAGUAAUGUAUUUAUCCUAUAAGCGGAAAAUUCUGAGAAUAAUGGAGGACUGAGGGGAUUAAAAUGCCACGCAGUAGAUGGACUAUUUCAGAUUUUAUAGUCAGGGAAACUGGCUUCGGGAGGACAGCUCUCAAUUCAUGUACUUUACGUAAGAGCAGUUCUUUCUAUAGGCCAUAAAGUUGUAGGUGAUACAAUCAACUGGGUUAUAAAAUAGCUUCUUUUUAGAAUGGAGAUGAUACAAAAAUCAAUUUCUACAACCAUCAUUUCCUCCUGAACACCUCUUUCACUUUCAACCUAAACUUACUCUCCCCUUUGGGAAUUCCCAGUGUAUUUCUUUGAGAUGUCUUCCACAUUAACAGUAGAGCCUACAAAGAACCAACAUGCAGAGGCUACUUGUCAAAGGGCACUUUCUGUAGGUAGUCUAAAAGAACACAAUUAUACACAUACACAAACGUGUACAGGUAUACGCAAAAGGGAAAAGGAGAUGCAAGAGUACUGUACUACUGCUUUAACAAAUGCUCUCACCCAAUCCACCUUAUCCAUCUUACAGGAUAGAAACACUAUUUAGGGUUUAAAAUACGCAAAAAAACAUUUUUUUUAAAUAUAUAAACCAUCUAUGGAAGCAUAUUUUGCCUUCUGUUAUGACCCUCAUCAUUCCUCAACUCAUAUUCUAAAAGCCUGAGAGGUGAAAAUCUUCUGAACAGCUGAACCACCCACAGAACCUGAAAAUUAUUAUACAUUUUGCACAUGAUUAACCUAUAUUCACCACUGAGGUUUAACCAAGAACCAGAUUCACAUAGGUAAUAGGGGUCACAACUACUUUUUCAUAAAAUAUACCCUCCUACUGGCCAGGUGAGGUGGCUCACGCCUGUAAUUCCAGCACUUCAGAUUGCUUGAGCCCAGGAAUUCAAGACCAGUCUGGGCAACAUGGCAAAACCCUGUCUCUACUAAAAAUACAAAAAUUAACUGGGUGUGGUGGCACAUGCCUGUAGUCCCAGCUACUUGGGGAGGCUGAGGUGGGAUGGCUUGAGCCUGGAAGGUGAAGGUUGCAGUGAGCCAAGAUCACGACUUUGUACUUAAGUCUGGGCAACAGAGCGAGACCCUGUCUCAAAAAAAAAAAAAAAAAAAAAAAAAAAAUCUAUGCAUCCAUCUAUCUAUACAAACACACAUCCUCCUACUUUACAUAAAUGUACAAUUCCAUGUCUAUUCUUAGCAUGUUUUCAGUUAAAAUUAGAUUACUGAUGUUUACAAGAAGCACGGUCAAAUGAUUUUUUUCAUUUUAUGUCAAUGUUUACACGCCAACCCUCCAGAAGGUUGGGACAAUGGGAAGAGGGCAUUGGACUGGAUGUAAAGCCUGAGGCCAGGGGUCUAGUUUUGUUAGGGUCUAGAUUCUCACCCCAGAAUCUUACCCCCUCAGGCAAUCACUCAAAUUGAAAUAUCACUUCUAUUGGUCCUGAUACUCUACUUCAGUAGUUAUCUUACUUCUUCCUUUGAAUGUAAACCAUUUAUAGCUAAGUAGAGUAUAUUUUAGUAUAAGAACACAGUGAAGGCUGGGUGCGGUGGCUCACACCUGUAAUCCCAGCACUUUGGGAGGCCGAGGCGGGCGGAUCACGAGGUCAAGAGCUCGAGACCAGCCUGACCAACAUAGUGAAACCCCGUCUCUACUAAAAAUAUAAAAAUUAGCUGGGCGUAGUGGCGCGCGCCUGUAAUCCCAGCUACUUGGGAGGCUGGGGCAGGAGAAUCGCUUGAACCUGGGAGGCGGAGGUUGCAGUGAGUGGAGAUCGCAACACUGCAUUCCAGCCUGGGCGACAGGGCGAGACUCCGUCUCAAAAAACAAACAAACAAAAAACACAUAGUGAAGACCAAACAAAAUUUCAUCUGUACUAAUAAUGACUCACGGUGGGCCAGAGCUCAAGUCAGUAUGUAAUAAGAAAGCAAAGGGAAAAAAAAAAUCAUUUACUUCACUAAAACUUCUGUUGUUUCUUUAAAACUCUAAACAAAAUUGACCCUAUAAGUAAAGAUAUUCAUUCUUAUCAUUUUUUAACAAGCAAAUUUUAAUAAUGCCUUUUAUUUCUAUACAAAGCAAUGUAACUUUCU